UACGUAGGGUGCAAGCGUUGUCCGGAAUUAUUGGGCGUAAAGAGCUCGUAGGCGGUGUGUCGCGUCGGCCGUGAAAACCUGAGGCUCAACCUCGGGCGUGCGGUGGAUACUGCCGGGCUAGAGGACGGUAGAGGCGAGUGGAAUUCCCGGUGUAGCGGUGAAAUGCGCAGAUAUCGGGAGGAACACCAGUAGCGAAGGCGGCUCGCUGGGCCGUUCCUGACGCUGAGACGCGAAAGCUAGGGGAGCGAACAGG
This 253-nucleotide ribosomal RNA is filed under the name uncultured bacterium. RNAcentral's name for it is "partial 16S ribosomal RNA". It matches the Rfam family "Bacterial small subunit ribosomal RNA", at positions 524 to 776 of the family's 1533-position model. The record is from RNAcentral.